RNAcentral lists this transfer RNA (77 nucleotides) under Patescibacteria group bacterium. RNAcentral describes it as "tRNA-Gly". It matches the Rfam family "tRNA". From Rfam's summary of the family: Transfer RNA (tRNA) molecules are approximately 80 nucleotides in length. Their secondary structure includes four short double-helical elements and three loops (D, anti-codon, and T loops). Further hydrogen bonds mediate the characteristic L-shaped molecular structure. tRNAs have two regions of fundamental functional importance: the anti-codon, which is responsible for specific mRNA codon recognition, and the 3' end, to which the tRNAs corresponding amino acid is attached (by aminoacyl-tRNA synthetases). tRNAs cope with the degeneracy of the genetic code in two manners: having more than one tRNA (with a specific anti-codon) for a particular amino acid; and 'wobble' base-pairing, i.e. permitting non-standard base-pairing at the 3rd anti-codon position. The record is from RNAcentral.
GCGGAAUUAGCUCAAUUGGCUAGAGCGCGUCCUUGCCAAGGACGAGGUUGCGAGUUCGAGUCUCGUAUUCCGCUCCA